ACGGGAGGCAGCAGCUAAGAAUAUUCCGCAAUGGACGAAAGUCUGACGGAGCGACGCCGCGUGGAUGAUGAAGGCCGGAAGGUUGUAAAAUCCUUUUAUACAUGAGGAAUAAGCAGAGCAGGAAAUGGCUUUGUGGUGACUGUAGUGUAUGAAUAAGCAACGGCUAAUUACGUGCCAGCAGCCGCGGUAACACGUAAGUUGCGAGCGUUGUUCGGAAUUAUUGGGCGUAAAGGGCAUGUAGGCGGUUUUGCAAGCUUGGUGUGAAAGGCAGGAGCUUAACUCCUGGACUGCGUUGAGAACUGCAAGACUAGAGUUACUGAAGAGCAAUCAGAAUUCCAGGUGUAGGGGUGAAAUCUGUAGAUAUCUGGAAGAAUACCAAUGGCGAAGGCAGGUUGCUGGCAGAUGACUGACGCUGAGGUGCGAAGGUGCGGGGAGCAAACAGGAUUAGAUACCCUGGUA
RNAcentral lists this ribosomal RNA (459 nucleotides) under uncultured Treponema sp. RNAcentral's name for it is "bacterial SSU rRNA". It matches the Rfam family "Bacterial small subunit ribosomal RNA", at positions 341 to 792 of the family's 1533-position model. Lineage: Bacteria; Pseudomonadati; Spirochaetota; Spirochaetia; Treponematales; Treponemataceae. The record is from RNAcentral.